This 468-nucleotide ribosomal RNA is filed under the name uncultured bacterium. RNAcentral's name for it is "partial 16S ribosomal RNA". It matches the Rfam family "Bacterial small subunit ribosomal RNA", at positions 28 to 507 of the family's 1533-position model. The record is from RNAcentral.
GACGAACGCUGGCGGCGUGCUUAACACAUGCAAGUCGAACGGAAAGGCCCUGCUUUUGUUGGGUGCUCGAGUGGCGAACGGGUGAGUAACACGUGAGUAACCUGCCCUUGACUUUGGGAUAACUUCAGGAAACUGGGGCUAAUACCGGAUAGGAGCUCCUGCUGUAUGGUGGGGGUUGGAAAUUUUCGGCGGUUGGGGAUGGAAUCGCGGCUUAUCAGCUUGUUGGUGGGGUAGUGGCUUACCAAGGCAUUGACGGGUAGCCGGCCUGAGAGGGUGACCGGCCACAUUGGGACUGAGAUACGGGCCAGACGCCUACGGGGGGCAGCGGUGGGAAAUAUUGCACAAUGGGCGGAAGGCUGGUGCAGCGACGCCGCGUGCGGAAGGACGGCUGUCGGGUUAUAAACCGCUUGCGCCUGUGACGAAGCGUGAGUGACGGUAAUGGAUAAAGAAGCACCGGCUAACUACGUG